GUUCUGCAGAACGAUAAAUAUUUUGUAAAUGUGUGCUCUGUCCGCUAGCGAAUUCCAGCCAUGUGUGAAAUAUCGUAUGUGAAGCCUCCGUCUGACUGAACGAUUGUCAAAGGCAUGCCAGAAGAUGUUUCAUCAUAUGUUUUCGGCUAUCGUCUUCUUCGAUUGCAUUCACACGUGAUAUAAUAACUAGUGUCGGCAAGCUGUGGGAAUGCCCAGGAGAUGGCGUUUGUAAAGCUGUCGAAAUCAUUACACCGACGGCGGUGGGCAGUACUGGUGGAACAUAUUUACCACAGCCGUGGUUGCGGCGUUUUGUUCUGCAACAAUAGCCUGCAAUGAUGACAUGUCAUAUAAUGUCGACGAACAAAGAUAUAAAAUUGAAAAUGACUAACCUUUUUCCCGGCCGAUUUGGAAGACCACCCUUGGUCACGACCAGAACGCAUUUACCAAGAGGAAAAACCGCAGGAAUUGCAGUAGUUCCUGCAAUUACCGUUGAUGAUGCUGUGCUGGUAAUUAAUAGUCUGAAAAGACAGAAAAUUGCAUUAAUCAAAUGUUAUACACAUCAAAUAAAUAAAUUUCAAUAAUUUGUUUACCAUUUAACAAACCGAA
Rhagoletis pomonella (apple maggot) is the source of this 606-nucleotide long non-coding RNA. RefSeq lists it as uncharacterized. NCBI's taxonomy places the organism in Eukaryota, Metazoa, Arthropoda, Insecta, Diptera, Tephritidae. The record is from RefSeq and is a predicted model, not a curated record. The transcript has 2 exons.